Molecule: ribosomal RNA, 497 nt
Filed under: uncultured bacterium
Lineage: Bacteria
Description: partial 16S ribosomal RNA
Rfam family: Bacterial small subunit ribosomal RNA
Source: RNAcentral
GAUGAACGCUGGCGGCGUGCCUAAUACAUGCAAGUCGAGCGAACAGACGAGGAGCUUGCUCCUCUGACGUUAGCGGCGGACGGGUGAGUAACACGUGGAUAACCUACCUAUAAGACUGGGAUAACUUCGGGAACCCGGAGCUAAUACCGGAUAAUAUAUUGAACCGCAUGGUUCAAUAGUGAAAGACGGUUUUGCUGUCACUUAUAGAUGGAUCCGCGCCGCAUUAGCUAGUUGGUAAGGUAACGGCUUACCAAGGCAACGAUGCGUAGCCGACCUGAGAGGGUGAGCGGCCACACUGGAACUGAGACACGGUCCAGACUCCGACGGGAGGCAGCAGUAGGGAAUCUGCCGCAAUGGGCGAAAGCGUGACGGAGCAACGCCGCGUGAGUGAUGAAGGUCUUCGGAUCGUAAAACUCUGUUAUUAGGGAAGAACAAAUGUGUAAGUAACUAUGCACGUCUUGACGGUACCUAAUCAGAAAGCCACGGCUAACUACGUG